UAUGUUCUGACUUAUUCUGGAGAGGAGUGGGAGAUAAUAUUAGCAAGAAUUCUUGGGAGGCCAGAACAAACAGCCUACGUACGGAUUGUCGGAAGAAACACAAAGAUGCCAAAAGAAAAAUGAAACCAAAGUAAUAAAUGUCACAUUGGUGCUGAUCCUGAAUGUGAACAAGGCUCAUGUAAGGAAAGUGACCCAGAAAAUAGUUUUAGCUGACAAAGAAGAAAUUUGAGUAAAGGAAUAGUCAAAAUCUGGCUGAUGGAAUAUAUUCUGGUUGCCAUCUUUUUCUGUGGAAUGCCUCUGUAUUUCUUCCUAAGUAAUUACUUCAAAAAAUUAAACUGAACUUUUUAAAAAUGAAGCA
This is a non-coding RNA of Microcebus murinus (gray mouse lemur), 358 nucleotides long. NCBI's taxonomy places the organism in Eukaryota, Metazoa, Chordata, Mammalia, Primates, Cheirogaleidae. The record is from RefSeq and is a predicted model, not a curated record.